UACAGAGGUCCCGAGCGUUGUUCGGAUUCACUGGGCGUAAAGGGUGCGUAGGUGGCCUGGUAAGUUUGAUGUGAAAGCUCAGGGCUUAACCCUGAAAUGGCAUUGAAUACUACUGUGCUGGAGGUUUGGAGGGGGGACUGGAAUUCUUGGUGUAGCAGUGAAAUGCGUAGAUAUCAAGAGGAACACCAGUGGCGAAGGCAGCCCCCUGGGCUGACACUGACGCUCAUGCACGAAAGCGUGGGGAGCAAACAGG
RNAcentral lists this ribosomal RNA (253 nucleotides) under uncultured bacterium. RNAcentral's name for it is "partial 16S ribosomal RNA". It matches the Rfam family "Bacterial small subunit ribosomal RNA", at positions 524 to 776 of the family's 1533-position model. The record is from RNAcentral.